Molecule: ribosomal RNA, 587 nt
Filed under: uncultured Mamiellales
Lineage: Eukaryota; Viridiplantae; Chlorophyta; Mamiellophyceae; Mamiellales
Description: eukaryotic LSU rRNA
Rfam family: Eukaryotic large subunit ribosomal RNA
Source: RNAcentral
UUAUGACCUCAGUUCAGACAAGGCUACCCGCCGAAUUUAAGCAUAUUACUAAGCGGAGGAAAAGAAACUAACAAGGAUUCCCCUAGUAACGGCGAGCGAACCGGGAAGAGCCCAACUUGAAAAUCUAAGGGUUGUACCUUUCGAAUUGUAGUCUAGAGACGCGUUCUCUGCGGCGGAUCGGCUCCAAGUUCCCUGGAAAGGGACGUCAGAGAGGGUGAGAACCCCGUCGAAGCCGGUUUCAAUCGCUCCACGAGGCGCAGUCGAGGAGUCGGGUUGUUUGGGAAUGCAGCCCUAAGCAGGUGGUAAAUUCCAUCUAAGGCUAAAUAUUGGCGAGAGACCGAUAGCGAACAAGUACCGCGAGGGAAAGAUGAAAAGACCUUUGAAAAGAGAGUUAAAAAGUACCUGAAAUUGUUGAGGGGGAAGCGAUUCAAACCUGUGGGUGCUCCCGGGGCAGUAGCAAUACACGCGCUCGGGGCUGGUCAACGUGGGUUAGCUUGGAAGGAUAUCACUUCCGAGUUGACCGAGGACUCGACGUUGGCGGAAAGGUUUGCAUUGACCCGUCUAGAAACACGGACCAAGGAGUCUAA